RNAcentral lists this long non-coding RNA (396 nucleotides) under Prunus dulcis (almond). RNAcentral describes it as "sRNA ncRNA". Lineage: Eukaryota; Viridiplantae; Streptophyta; Magnoliopsida; Rosales; Rosaceae. The record is from RNAcentral.
AUGGACAAAUUAAUCAUUUUGUUACUGAUUUUUGCACUCAUUAGUACCAUUUGUGAGGGUAAAUUUUGGGGUAUAACGCAUGUUAAAAUUAUCAAUGGUCUGGAACCACCGGCAGAUGUUAGCGUUCAUUGUAAAUCCAAAGACGAUGAUCUUGGUGCUCGUCAACUUCUGUACAAUGCUAGCUUUCAGUUUCAGUUUAGGCCCAACUUUUGGGGAAGUACACAAUUCUACUGCAGUUUUGUGUGGCCAAAACAAAUUCAAUGGUUCGACAUUUUCGAACACAGCAGGGAUGAUUGCAAGUUUUGUACGUGGAUUGUCAAAACUGGAGGUCCAUGUAUGUUCAAUUAUACCUCUCAGAGCUUUGAUCAAUGUCAUCCCUGGAACAAGAAAAUUUGA